ACGGGCUUCGGUCUGGUGGCGAGUGGCGAACGGGUGAGUAAAGUAUCGGAACGUACCUUUCAGUGGGGGAUAACGUAGCGAAAGUUACGCUAAUACCGCAUAUUCUGUGAGCAGGAAAGCAGGGGAUCGCAAGACCUUGCGCUGAUUGAGCGGCCGAUAUCAGAUUAGCUAGUUGGUGGGGUAAAGGCCUACCAAGGCGACGAUCUGUAGCGGGUCUGAGAGGAUGAUCCGCCACACUGGAACUGAGACACGGUCCAGACUCCUACGGGAGGCAGCAGUGGGGAAUUUUGGACAAUGGGGGCAACCCUGAUCCAGCCAUGCCGCGUGAGUGAAGAAGGCCUUCGGGUUGUAAAGCUCUUUCGGCCGGGAAGAAAUCGCAUGGGCUAAUACCCUGUGUGGAUGACGGUACCGGAAUAAGAAGCACCGGCUAACUACGUGCCAGCAGCCGCGGUAAUACGUAGGGUGCGAGCGUUAAUCGGAAUUACUGGGCGUAAAGCGUGCGCAGGCGGUUUAGUAAGACAGGCGUGAAAUCCCCGGGCUCAACCUGGGGAACUGCGCUUGUGACUGCUAAGCUAGAGUAC
This 581-nucleotide ribosomal RNA is filed under the name uncultured Dechloromonas sp. Its description in RNAcentral is "bacterial SSU rRNA". It matches the Rfam family "Bacterial small subunit ribosomal RNA", at positions 73 to 649 of the family's 1533-position model. The record is from RNAcentral. Lineage: Bacteria; Pseudomonadati; Pseudomonadota; Betaproteobacteria; Rhodocyclales; Azonexaceae.